RNAcentral lists this RNase P RNA (329 nucleotides) under Desulfurococcales archaeon. RNAcentral describes it as "RNase P RNA component". It matches the Rfam family "Archaeal RNase P". Rfam says of the family: Ribonuclease P (RNase P) is a ubiquitous endoribonuclease, found in archaea, bacteria and eukarya as well as chloroplasts and mitochondria. Its best characterised activity is the generation of mature 5'-ends of tRNAs by cleaving the 5'-leader elements of precursor-tRNAs. Cellular RNase Ps are ribonucleoproteins. The record is from RNAcentral. Lineage: Archaea; Thermoproteati; Thermoproteota; Thermoprotei; Desulfurococcales.
CAGCCCCGGCUGGCGGCUACGGCCCCUCCCAAGAGAGGGGCUGAGGAAACUCCACCCUCCCCGAGGCAUCCGGGCCCCGCAAGGGGCACGGGUGAAACCCGUGGCAACGGCACAGAAACGACACGGCCCCCGGGCAAUGGCGAGGACCCCGCGAGGCCUCCCAGGCAACUGGGGGGCAGUAACCGGGCGAGGACCCCGGGGGAUGCGGUGAAACGGCCGUCCCCGGAGGAGCAAGGGCCGCGGGAGAUGAGGCGCCUCGCGACUCCCGCGGCGCGGGCCGCUGAGUCGAAUGCCGCCGUAGUACAGAAGGUGGGUUAUAGCCGGGGCUG